RNAcentral lists this long non-coding RNA (216 nucleotides) under Mytilus galloprovincialis (Mediterranean mussel). The record is from RNAcentral. Lineage: Eukaryota; Metazoa; Mollusca; Bivalvia; Mytilida; Mytilidae.
UAUAUAUAUUAUUUAAAGAUGUCAAUCUUAUUUUCAAAGCUUGUAUAAACAACUAUACACACAAAGCAAGCAAGCCAACCAAAGUUUUACUUUGCAAGCAUUAGGAAAUCAGCUGUAAUGAUUUUAUUCAGUUUGGCAAAUGUCCGAGACCGUUAAAAAAUGAAAACAAAAUGAAACUACAGUUGCUGACUUCACUACCUUCAAAACAAAGGGAAC